Molecule: non-coding RNA, 75 nt
Organism: Myotis lucifugus (little brown bat)
Lineage: Eukaryota; Metazoa; Chordata; Mammalia; Chiroptera; Vespertilionidae
Source: Rfam
GCUGGUUCUUGGGUGAUACACUCCAGAAUUGGGCUCCCUCCUCUCUGGUUCUGGGUGCAUCACCGGAGAACCACA